GAGUUUGAUCCUGGCUCAGAUUGAACGCUGGCGGCAUGCCUUACACAUGCAAGUCGAACGGCAGCACGGGAGCUUGCUCCUGGUGGCGAGUGGCGAACGGGUGAGUAAUGCAUCGGAACGUAUCCUGGAGUGGGGGAUAACGUAGCGAAAGUUACGCUAAUACCGCAUAUUCUGUGAGCAGGAAAGCGGGGGACCUUCGGGCCUCGCGCUCUUGGAGCGGCCGAUGUCGGAUUAGCUAGUUGGUGAGGUAAAGGCUCACCAAGGCGACGAUCCGUAGCAGGUCUGAGAGGAUGAUCUGCCACACUGGAACUGAGACACGGUCCAGACUCCUACGGGAGGCAGCAGUGGGGAAUUUUGGACAAGUGGGGGCAACCCUGAUCCAGCCAUGCCGCGUGAGUGAAGAAGGCCUCGG
Molecule: ribosomal RNA, 412 nt
Filed under: bacterium enrichment culture clone ALO1_GLFRUDD03GKTBW
Lineage: Bacteria
Description: bacterial SSU rRNA
Rfam family: Bacterial small subunit ribosomal RNA
Source: RNAcentral